Molecule: ribosomal RNA, 424 nt
Filed under: uncultured bacterium
Lineage: Bacteria
Also listed under: 1 other name
Description: bacterial SSU rRNA
Rfam family: Bacterial small subunit ribosomal RNA
Source: RNAcentral
UGAGGAAUAUUGGUCAAUGGGCGCAAGCCUGAACCAGCCAAGUAGCGUGAGGGAAGACUGCCCUACGGGUUGUAAACCUCUUUUGUUUGGGAAUAAAGUGCGGGACGUGUCCCGCAUUGCAUGUACCAUUUGAAUAAGGACCGGCUAAUUCCGUGCCAGCAGCCGCGGUAAUACGGAAGGUCCGGGCGUUAUCCGGAUUUAUUGGGUUUAAAGGGAGCGCAGGCCGUGGGUUAAGCGUGUCGUGAAAUUCCGUCGCUCAACGGCGGACGUGCGGCGCGAACUGGUCCACUUGAGUACGCGGGACGUUGGCGGAAUUCGUGGUGUAGCGGUGAAAUGCUUAGAUAUCACGAAGAACUCCGAUUGCGAAGGCAGCUGACGGUAGCGCAACUGACGCUGAGGCUCGAAAGUGCGGGUAUCGAACAGG